RNAcentral lists this ribosomal RNA (886 nucleotides) under Vibrio sp. RM173. RNAcentral's name for it is "bacterial SSU rRNA". It matches the Rfam family "Bacterial small subunit ribosomal RNA", at positions 509 to 1394 of the family's 1533-position model. Lineage: Bacteria; Pseudomonadati; Pseudomonadota; Gammaproteobacteria; Vibrionales; Vibrionaceae. The record is from RNAcentral.
CAGCAGCCGCGGUAAUACGGAGGGUGCGAGCGUUAAUCGGAAUUACUGGGCGUAAAGCGCAUGCAGGUGGUUUGUUAAGUCAGAUGUGAAAGCCCGGGGCUCAACCUCGGAACUGCAUUUGAAACUGGCAAACUAGAGUACUGUAGAGGGGGGUAGAAUUUCAGGUGUAGCGGUGAAAUGCGUAGAGAUCUGAAGGAAUACCAGUGGCGAAGGCGGCCCCCUGGACAGAUACUGACACUCAGAUGCGAAAGCGUGGGGAGCAAACAGGAUUAGAUACCCUGGUAGUCCACGCCGUAAACGAUGUCUACUUGGAGGUUGUGGCCUUGAGCCGUGGCUUUCGGAGCUAACGCGUUAAGUAGACCGCCUGGGGAGUACGGUCGCAAGAUUAAAACUCAAAUGAAUGGACGGGGGCCCGCACAAGCGGUGGAGCAUGUGGUUUAAUUCGAUGCAACGCGAAGAACCUUACCUACUCUUGACAUCCAGAGAACUUAGCAGAGAUGCUUUGGUGCCUUCGGGAACUCUGAGACAGGUGCUGCAUGGCUGUCGUCAGCUCGUGUUGUGAAAUGUUGGGUUAAGUCCCGCAACGAGCGCAACCCUUAUCCUUGUUUGCCAGCGAGUAAUGUCGGGAACUCCAGGGAGACUGCCGGUGAUAAACCGGAGGAAGGUGGGGACGACGUCAAGUCAUCAUGGCCCUUACGAGUAGGGCUACACACGUGCUACAAUGGCGCAUACAGAGGGCAGCCAACUCGCGAGAGUGAGCGAAUCCCAAAAAGUGCGUCGUAGUCCGGAUUGGAGUCUGCAACUCGACUCCAUGAAGUCGGAAUCGCUAGUAAUCGUAGAUCAGAAUGCUACGGUGAAUACGUUCCCGGGCCUUGCACACACCGCC